Molecule: unclassified non-coding RNA, 213 nt
Filed under: Hevea brasiliensis (rubber tree)
Lineage: Eukaryota; Viridiplantae; Streptophyta; Magnoliopsida; Malpighiales; Euphorbiaceae
Source: RNAcentral
UAUGCAUGAAAGGUGAAAAUCAAUUUAAGUACAGGAGAGAAUUUCUACAGCCAGAAGAUCUGGCAUGAGUAUGACAAAUGAAAUGCUAAACUUCUGCUACUGAAUCUAAAUUAAAGUGCAAAAAUUGAUCCUCGAGGCUCCUGAUUCAGUAUUGAUGAUUGAGUUCUUGUCUCGAAUUAUCUGCAGUCUAAGGCCAGGACAGAUCGAUACAAA